RNAcentral lists this long non-coding RNA (1219 nucleotides) under Homo sapiens (human). RNAcentral describes it as "non-protein coding ZNF582-AS1:7". The record is from RNAcentral. Lineage: Eukaryota; Metazoa; Chordata; Mammalia; Primates; Hominidae.
GUUUCAGGGUGAGCCGGACGCAGGCGUGCCUGCGCAGUGCGCGGAGGAGUGCUGUUCGUGUGUUCGAGUCCCUGGGUUGCUUCCUGGGGUCUGUGGUGCUGGGUGUGCUAUCUGCGUGUGAUUCUCUAGCGAGAGAUUGUGGGCGAGUGACCGAGUGGGCAAGGGGCCGUCACUGUGUGUGCGUGAUUUUGACAGUGUGUGGUGGUAGCUUCUGACUCCGCGUGGGUCGUUGAAUGUAUGACUGGGACCGUUUAGCGGUGGAUACACAACUGUGUGCGGCUGUGGAAGAUUGCCUCAUCCGUUACGUUCCCAUUUCCGUGGAACAACAGUUUUACCAGAAGGUUUCGAAGGAACCUUAAAGUUUGGAAGCGUAAGAGUUUAUCUGGCGGCUUUGGUGUCAUCAAAUGUGAGAAGCCCUGGACUUUACACAUCCCGAGCCAGUGUGAUCCAGUAUGAUUGGGAGUCCGAGUGCCAGAUGCCGGUCAGGACCUGUUAUGCUGGGUCUCAGAAUGCGGAAACUCUCCCUGUCCGAGGUGGAACAGUUUGUCCUUGAGUGAGGACUGGAGUCCUGAGUGACUCUUUUGAUUUGAUCCUGUUUCCCUCAAACCUGAGAUGGGAGCCUCACUGUAUUGCCCAGGCUGGUCUUGAACUCCGGAGCUCAAGUGAUCGUCUUGCUUCAGCCUUGCAAAAUGAUGGUGAAGCUGCAUCAUUGUCUGGGGUAAAUACCUGAGGUUCGUUGUCUCACGCCAAGGGAAUCAAGGACGUGGACACACAAGAAAUGGAGUCCCUGUCUGACCGGGCCAUGUUGUAUGUUCCUUGCUGUACACGUGGUUGACAAAGAAAAGGGAAGAUGGAGCUGCGAUGUUGGACAUGCCUGGCCCCCAGGACAUACAGCCCUGCCGAGCAAAUAAUGAACGUAACUCACAAACUUCCUGCUUAUCAUCAAACGCACGCAUCCACUUAUCAUCAAACACCUCGGGUGACAGAAGAAUGCAGGUCAGCUCCCUGCUGCCUUGGCAUUAUCAAUCAGCCCAGGAACCAUCCUAUAAAAUCUCCAGCAAGCCUUUGUUUCCUUGCAGUCAGCUCCUCUUCCACUGAUUCUGCCUGUUGCUCCCUGAUAACAUACUUUGAUACUGUCUUUAAUAAAUCUGCCUUUCUUCACCCACAGCUGUCUUGGUAAGUUCUUUUACCUCUGUGCCACCAGCCCAAACAGUUGCUG